This 1522-nucleotide ribosomal RNA is filed under the name Pseudotrichonympha sp. Au03Sc. RNAcentral describes it as "SSU rRNA". It matches the Rfam family "Eukaryotic small subunit ribosomal RNA". The record is from RNAcentral. Lineage: Eukaryota; Parabasalia; Trichonymphida; Teranymphidae.
AAGGAAGCACACUUCGGUCAUAGAUUAAGCCAUGCAAGUCUCAGUUCAGGCAACGAAACUGCGUACAGCUCAUUAACACACUCAUUAUCUAAUUCACAACGACACUCGUCUAUAAGGAUAGCCGGAGUAAAACUCGUGCUAAUACUCGAAAGAGUACCUCAAGUUAAGAAAGAACAGAGGUAAAGUAAACCAAAGGGCAAGUGAAAAGAAAGAGUGGCCUAUCAGCUAGUACUUAGGAUCUUCACCUAGGUAGGCUAUAACGGGUAACGGGCGGUUACCGUCGGACUGCCGGAGAAGGAGCCUGAGAGACAGCUACUAUUCCUACGGGGAGCAGCAGGCGCGAAACUUACCCACUCGAUAAUAUCGGAGGUGGUAAUGACCAGUUCUAAUAUCGGGGACAACCCCAAUAUAGAUAGGAUAAUUUACUAAGAGAGUUAAGUAAUCUAGCAGAGGGCCAGUCUGGUGCCAGCAGCUGCGGUAAUUCCAGCUCUGCGAGUUUGCUCCCAUAUUGUUGCAGUUAAAACGCCCGUAGUCAAAACUCCCCACAAGGGGAAGAGGUUCUAACCGUCCACCGCGAAUAAAACAGAAUGCUUAGGAUAUUCUCUAAGAAUGAUAGAGCGCGGUCUGGAGUAUUUACCUUUCGGGGUAAGGUUAAAGAGAACGAGUGGUGCUGGUAGUAUUCCUUAGCGAGCGGUGGAAUGCGUUGACCUAAGGGAGACUAACAAAAGCGAAAGCAGCCAGCAAGUAGGUUUCUAUCGAUCAAGGGCGAGAGUAGGGGUAGCGAACCGGAUUAGAGACCCGGGUAGUCCCUACAGUAAACGAUGUCGACAAGGGAUUGGUCUAUUGAAUAGAUCAGUACCUUUCGAGAAAUCAUAGUUCAUGGACUCUGGGGGAACUACGAUCGCAAGACAGAAACUUGAAGGAAUUGACGGAAGGGCACACAAGGGGUGGAGCCUGCGGCUUAAUCUGACUCAACACGGAGAAACUUACCAGGACAAGAUGGCUAUGGUGAGCGACAAUCUAAAGGAUUUUCGGGAUAAGUCUUUGGGUGGUGCAUGGCCGUUGGUGGUGCGUGGGUUGACCUGUCAUGCAUUGAUUCAGAUAACGAGCGAGAUUAUCACCAAUUAAGUAAUAUAUAUCAGUUUACUGAAAAUAGUUAUUAAUUGGGACCGUCCGGAAAGUCACGGGAGGAAGGAGAUAGCAAUAACAGGUCCGUGAUGUCCUUUAGAUGCCCUGGGCUGCACGCGUGCUACAAUGGAGAUUUUAAAGUGUUGCGUACUCGAAAGAGGAAGCUACACACUAAUUAUCUGCGUAGUUGGGAUUGGGGUUUGUAAUCAACCACAUGAACUAGGAAUCCCUUGUAAGCGUGUGUCAACAUCGCACGCUGAAUAGGUCCCUGCCCUUUGUACACACCGCCCGUCGCUCCUACCGAUUGGAUGACCUGGUGAAAACAUCGGAGCCAAAUGGUGAAGGUGUUUAAAUCAUGUUAUCUAGAGGAAGGAGAAGUCGUAACAAGGUAACG